Leishmania major strain Friedlin is the source of this 97-nucleotide small nucleolar RNA. The record is from RefSeq and is a predicted model, not a curated record. NCBI's taxonomy places the organism in Eukaryota, Euglenozoa, Kinetoplastea, Trypanosomatida, Trypanosomatidae.
AUCGGUGACUUCUCCUCGACACGCUAAGCACAUGGAGAACUUGACACGAGUAUCAGGAGCCCCCUGACUGAGAGACUAUCAUGCACCACUCUGAGGU